This 508-nucleotide long non-coding RNA is filed under the name Marmota monax (woodchuck). Lineage: Eukaryota; Metazoa; Chordata; Mammalia; Rodentia; Sciuridae. The record is from RNAcentral.
GCCAGAUGGCUGUGGCUUGGCCGGGAUGCCUGGGCGUCCCGACGCGGGCGCAGUGCCGCAACCUGCGCAGCGCAGCAGCGGUCUCAGGGCCAGGGAGUUUGCCUGCCCGAAGCUGAGCACCCGUAAGGAGAUGCAGGACCUUGGGAAGGAAGGUGACUGAACCCACUCGUGGUGUGAUCACUGGCCAGGACAACCAGCCAGUUUCUGCAGCCCCUUUGAGAUCCAGAAAGGCCAAGAAGGACGUGGCCUGGCCUGGCUUGGUCUGUGUGCCUGUGGAGUACCAUCGCCCAUCUCCCCUUGCCUGGGGACUUGCUGGGACAAGUUACUUCUGCCUUCAGAGAGCGAGGUUCAAGUGUUAACACCAAGAACAUAAGGACUUACGGCUGAAGUUUUAGAAUUUCACCUGGAACAAUAACUGAAGUUUUAAGCCAAAAGUGUUAAAGUGCAUUAAAAGAUUUGCUUCAUGUGCAAAAAAAAAAAAAAAAUCCCUGCCUAUUCCUUCAGGGUC